UUCAUGACAAACUAUUACAUUUACAAUCGCCAUUGUACUACAUUGUUUUUUCUGUUAUAUGUAUUUAUUUAUAUAAUUAUUGACCAGUUUUUAAAUUUUUUCGUCAAGAUAAUUUCAUAGACGGACCCACGGCCCCUUUUGUGGGAAAAAAUUGGUUGAUUAUAUAGGGAAUCACUGAAGCAUGACUGGAGCAGGCCCCCCUUAGGUCAGUCAGUGGACCCCUCUCUUAUGAAAAGUUCUGGAUCCGCCACUGAAUUUAGAAUAUAUUAAGAUCACUUUGAGUGAUUAAAAAUCAUAAUUUGUUAAAGAUUAUAACUGAAAAAUAUUUUGUGGGAAAAAUUUGGUUGAUUAUAUAGGGAAUCACUGAAGCAUGACCGAAGCGGGCCCCCCUUAUGAAAGUUCUGGAUCCGCC
Molecule: long non-coding RNA, 412 nt
Filed under: Mytilus galloprovincialis (Mediterranean mussel)
Lineage: Eukaryota; Metazoa; Mollusca; Bivalvia; Mytilida; Mytilidae
Source: RNAcentral